CAGUAGCCACGGUAAUACGGAGGGCGCGAGCGUUACCCGGAUUUACUGGGCGUAAAGGGCGUGUAGGCGGCCUGGGGCGUCCCAUGUGAAAGGCCACGGCUCAACCGUGGAGGAGCGUGGGAUACGCUCAGGCUAGAGGGUGGGAGAGGGUGGUGGAAUUCCCGGAGUAGCGGUGAAAUGCGCAGAUACCGGGAGGAACACCGCUGGCGAAGGCAGCCACCUGGUCCACUUCUGACGCUGAGGCGCGAAAGCGUGGGGAGCAAACCGGAUUAGAGACCCCAGUAGUCCCUGUCUCUUAUAC
This 301-nucleotide ribosomal RNA is filed under the name uncultured bacterium. RNAcentral describes it as "partial 16S ribosomal RNA". It matches the Rfam family "Bacterial small subunit ribosomal RNA", at positions 509 to 807 of the family's 1533-position model. The record is from RNAcentral.